Molecule: ribosomal RNA, 771 nt
Filed under: uncultured Neocallimastigales
Lineage: Eukaryota; Fungi; Neocallimastigomycota; Neocallimastigomycetes; Neocallimastigales
Description: partial large subunit ribosomal RNA
Rfam family: Eukaryotic large subunit ribosomal RNA
Source: RNAcentral
UCAGACGAUGCGUCAUGCAUAUCAAUAAGCGGAGGAAAAGAAACUAACAAGGAUUCCCUUAGUAACGGCGAGUGAAGCGGGAAGAGCUCAAAUUUGAAAUCUUGAAAGGUCACCUUUCACGAAUUGUAGUUUAAAGAAGUGUUUUCUGUUACGAUCGUAAUAUAAGUUCUUUGGAAUAGGACAUCACAGAGGGUGAGAAUCCCGUCUAUGAUUGCGAUUUGUAGCUUUGUGAUACACUUUCAAAGAGUCGGGUUGUUUGGGAAUGCAGCCCAAAACGGGAGGUAAAUUUCUUCUAAGGCUAAAUAUUGGCGAGAGACCGAUAGCGAACAAGUACCGUGAGGGAAAGAUGAAAAGAACUUUGAAAAGAGAGUUAAAUAGUACGUGAAAUUGUCAAAAGGGAAGCGUUUAACACCAGUGUUGUUUUCUGAAAAUCAACCUCUGUUAGCUUUAUGCAUGUUUGUUUAGACCUAAUCAGCUAUCUUGCAUGUUCUAUUGUUUGCAGUGGUGCACUUUUCAGUUUACAGGUCAACAUCAGUUUUUUUUACCGUAAAAAAGUUAAAGAAAGGUAGCUCAUGGCUCCGGUCGUGAGUGUUAUAGUCUUUUUCCUAUGCGGUAGGAGAGACUGAGGUCUGCAGUGUAGGCUAUUUGGCUAGAUACUCAGGUGCUAUGUGAUACCAUUUCAUAAACAACUUGUUGAUUAUGUUUUGUCUAUUGCAUACUCGCUUGUACUAUCAUACCUACGCUUAGGAUGUUGAUCUGUAGUGCGUGCGC